UAGGAUUAAAACGCAACUGAGCUGUCAUAUGCCCAUGCUGCGCUUAAGCCCACCCUAAAAAUGAUCCUAGCACCCACGAUCGAUUGCACCCCCACGAAAGCUAAGAUCCAAACUGGGAUUAGAUACCCCACUAUGCUUAGCCCUAAAUCUUGGUGCUUACUUUACCAAAGCACCCGCCUGGGGACUACGAGCGCAAACGCUUAAAACUCUAAGGACUUGGCGGUGCCCUAAACCCACCUAGAGGAGCCUGUUCUAUAAUCGAUAAUCCACGAUACACCCAACCGCCCCUCGCCAAAGCAGCCUACAUACCGCCGUCGCCAGCCCACCUCGCCUGAGAGCACAUCAGUGGACACAACAGCCCAACCCGCUAGCAAGACAGGUCAAGGUAUAGCCUAUGGGAGCGGAAGAAWUGGGCUACAUUUUCUAAGUUAGAAAACUCCCACGGAAGGGAGUGUGAAAUCACACCCGGAAGGCGGAUUUAGCAGUAAAGCGGGACAAUAAAGCCCUCUUUAAGUUGGCCCUGGGGCACGUACAUACCGCCCGUCACCCUCC
This 552-nucleotide ribosomal RNA is filed under the name Burhinus vermiculatus (water thick-knee). Its description in RNAcentral is "partial 12S ribosomal RNA". It matches the Rfam family "Bacterial small subunit ribosomal RNA", at positions 658 to 1405 of the family's 1533-position model. Lineage: Eukaryota; Metazoa; Chordata; Aves; Charadriiformes; Burhinidae. The record is from RNAcentral.